AAUGGAAUAUUUCUCCGAAUUUUUUAUCCUGUAGAGUUAUAAGCUUAUGGAUAGGAAAUCGAUAGGGUAUAAUUGGAAACGGUUAUGCCUCCCAGUGUGGAAAGGAGAAUAUAAAGCUAUAGC
RNAcentral lists this non-coding RNA (123 nucleotides) under Paramaledivibacter caminithermalis. Its description in RNAcentral is "Clostridium caminithermale MoCo sequence". It matches the Rfam family "Molybdenum/Tungsten riboswitch aptamer (Moco RNA motif)". The record is from RNAcentral. RNAcentral also lists the same sequence under 1 other name. Lineage: Bacteria; Bacillati; Bacillota; Clostridia; Peptostreptococcales; Caminicellaceae.